Schistosoma rodhaini is the source of this 114-nucleotide non-coding RNA. The record is from Rfam. Lineage: Eukaryota; Metazoa; Platyhelminthes; Trematoda; Strigeidida; Schistosomatidae.
GUAGGCUAUGGUGAUAUCACACCAAAAACAGCAUUAGGCAAAGUGAUUGGCUCAAUAUGUUGUAUAUGCGGUGUACUUGUUGUCGGUCUACCAAUACCGAUCAUUGUUAAUAAU